Molecule: long non-coding RNA, 1270 nt
Organism: Mastomys coucha (southern multimammate mouse)
Lineage: Eukaryota; Metazoa; Chordata; Mammalia; Rodentia; Muridae
Exons: 7
Source: RefSeq, a predicted model, not a curated record
GCUUUCUGCACACUUGGCAUGCACUUGACUAAUUGAACUACUGCACAUCCUGCAGGCUCAAGUAAAAAGUCAGUGCUUUUAGGAAAAACAGCUUUAAAACCUCUGGUUUAGCCAGAUAGAUGUAGUAUAAAUUAAAAAUGCCCUAAGCAUGAAAACACUUUGGAUAUAUCUAAUAUCCUGGCAUUGUGCUUAGUCUCAUCUUCUUGAAAUGUGCUCAGAAUGUUCACACUAAAAAUACAAUUGUACGAAGCCAGCUAUCUAUCAUACAAACCUGGUUGUUAAAUGAAGUACUGACUGUCCGUUGAUUAGACAUUAUGAGCCAUGGUAUAGGCAGUUUCUUCUCAGGACCACCUGCCUGACUGCUACUGCCCAGCAUUACUUGAGAAUAUUGUCACAUAUAUUGCUUGCUAGCUUGAGAACAGGUCAAAACUCCAAAUCUCUUAUUAUGUGGGGAACCGUGUGAGGUGUGGCGGACGGCUCAUGUCUGUGGUCUCAGUUACUCAGGAGGAUGAGCCUGGUACAUUGGAGUCUCCGAAGGGUUUCAAAUGGUUCCGAGAGCCACUAGCCUGUCAAAUGAUUGACACCAGGAUCACGCCGCUAAGUUCACCGAUUCCCAGAUCAACAAUUCAUAGUGCAUAUAGCCAGGAGUUUGAUGGAAGAGUGCCAGGCAGGCUGAAAUAGCAACCUUUUGACCAUGACUUCUGGGAGGAAAGGAGCCCUCUCUGCAAUCAUCGCUCAUGAAACCUCUGGAAUGUCUUUGCACAAAGGGCUCAUUGAGAGUUGAUAGGCCUGCAUAAACCAGCCACACAAAACACCCGCCUCAACUUGAAAUCCAAAGAGAUUGACCUGCAAGACUGCAGAGAUUACAAAAUCCCACCAUGGAAGUAGAAGAGCUAGGGGCUGGAAAGCCAAGUGGUGGCUCAAUCCAGGCUGGCAGAAGUCUCUCGACAUAGAAUCUCCUAAGAGACUGAGCCACAUCUACAGGAGUGUCUGGGAGAAGUUUCUAGAGAACUACCUGAAGAAGGAAGAACCACACUGAGUAUGAGAGGUACCAUCCUCACCAGCAGGAGCCAAAAGGGACGAAGGAGUCGAACUCUGGAGUCUCCUGAGAUCAUCUCUAAAGUAAAUUACCUGAACUGGAUGCUCUGCUUCUGGAUCUACCACGAUGGAGACUGAGCUCAAACACCCCAACAAACAGACAUUCAAAGAAACUCUUUAAAAGUUCAGAGGCUAACACAGUUUGAGGGAUACUAUUAAGGUAAAAGCUCAA